This 205-nucleotide ribosomal RNA is filed under the name Levilactobacillus brevis. Its description in RNAcentral is "Lactobacillus brevis partial 16S ribosomal RNA". It matches the Rfam family "Bacterial small subunit ribosomal RNA", at positions 1329 to 1533 of the family's 1533-position model. The record is from RNAcentral. Lineage: Bacteria; Bacillati; Bacillota; Bacilli; Lactobacillales; Lactobacillaceae.
GAAUCGCUAGUAAUCGCGGAUCAGCAUGCCGCGGUGAAUACGUUCCCGGGCCUUGUACACACCGCCCGUCACGCCAUGAGAGUUUGUAACACCCAAAGCCGGUGAGAUAACCUUCGGGAGUCAGCCGUCUAAGGUGGGACAGAUGAUUAGGGUGAAGUCGUAACAAGGUAGCCGUAGGAGAACCUGCGGCUGGAUCACCUCCUUU